ACUCCGGAGACUGAGCCAUGGGGGGAAAGCAGCGGGACGAGGAUGACGAGGCCUACGGGAAGCCAGUCAAAUACGACCCCUCCUUUCGAGGCCCCAUCAAGAACAGAAGCUGCACAGAUGUCAUCUGCUGCGUCCUCUUCCUGCUCUUCAUUCUAGGUUACAUCGUGGUGGGGAUUGUGGCCUGGUUGUAUGGAGACCCCCGGCAAGUCCUCUACCCCAGGAACUCUACUGGGGCCUACUGUGGCAUGGGGGAGAACAAGUGAGUACAAAGGCGAGAAGAGGAGUGCAGGAGCGAGGCGAGAGAUAAGCCAUAUCUCCUGUACUUCAACAUCUUCAGCUGCAUCCUGUCCAGCAACAUCAUCUCAGUGGCUAAGAACGGCCUACAGUGCCCCACGCCCCAGGUGUGUGUGUCCUCCUGCCCGGAGG
RNAcentral lists this small RNA (426 nucleotides) under Pan troglodytes (chimpanzee). Its description in RNAcentral is "processed transcript". The record is from RNAcentral. Lineage: Eukaryota; Metazoa; Chordata; Mammalia; Primates; Hominidae.